RNAcentral lists this ribosomal RNA (274 nucleotides) under uncultured bacterium. RNAcentral describes it as "partial 16S ribosomal RNA". It matches the Rfam family "Bacterial small subunit ribosomal RNA", at positions 523 to 796 of the family's 1533-position model. The record is from RNAcentral.
AUACAGAGGGUGCAAGCGUUAAUCGGAAUUACUGGGCGUAAAGCGCACGUAGGUGGUUCAUUAAGUCAGAUGUGAAAGCCCCGGGCUCAACCUGGUAACUGCAUGUGGAACUGGUGAGCUAGAGUAUGGUAGAGGUAAGUGGAAUUCCAGGUGUAGCGGUGAAAUGCGUAGAUAUCUGGAGGAACAUCAGUGGCGAAGGCGACUUACUGGACCAAUACUGACACUGAGGUGCGAAAGCGUGGGGAGCAAACAGGAUUAGAAACCCCAGUAGUCC